GGAGCUGGGGAAAACUCCCCUCCACCUCACCCUCCUGUCAAAGGGAGCCAGGAGACGUCAACCCGUGCCUCAGCCUUUGCUGGAACCUGAGCAAAUGCUCGCAGCUGGGGAUUUCUUCCCUUCACUUUCUAGCACCGGCUGCUGUUGACUGUUGCCAGGAAGAAACAGUGUCGGGCAACCCUGCUGCCCGGGCCUCAGAAGAUCAGAGACACGUUUUAGGGAUGUUUCCGUUUCUUUGCAAACUGGAGUACCAUGUGGACAAAAGCAGGCGUGCCACAGGCAGGAGAAACACGUAUGACGAUAGCAACCCUAACCAUUGCCGAUGGAUCGCUUCCUAUGGGCCGGACGCAGCCUUACGGAAUGUGCACUGUGUGUCUCCUUUAACCUUCACCCAGAUGAGGACACUGAGGCUCAGCCAUAGAGUGGAAUUCAGGAUUUGAACCCCGGACCAAGUCUAACCCCCAUCCACUCCUCUCCUCGAUCCUUUGCCCUCAGUGACUCACACAGGUGUUCACACAGCCUCGAACA
Panthera uncia (snow leopard) is the source of this 528-nucleotide long non-coding RNA. RefSeq lists it as uncharacterized. The transcript is spliced from 3 exons. NCBI's taxonomy places the organism in Eukaryota, Metazoa, Chordata, Mammalia, Carnivora, Felidae. The record is from RefSeq and is a predicted model, not a curated record.